CAGUCGCCACGGGAAUACGUAGGGUGCGAGCGUUAAUCGGAAUUACUGGGCGUAAAGCGCGCGCAGGCGGUUGUGUAAGACAGGUGUGAAAUCCCCGGGCUUAACCUGGGAACUGCGCUUGUGACUGCACAGCUAGAGUAUGGCAGAGGGGGGUGGAAUUCCACGUGUAGCAGUGAAAUGCGUAGAGAUGUGGAGGAACACCGAUGGCGAAGGCAGCCCCCUGGGCCAAUACUGACGCUCAUGCACGAAAGCGUGGGGAGCAAACAGGAUUAGAUACCCCUGUAGUCCCUGUCUCUUAUAC
Molecule: ribosomal RNA, 301 nt
Filed under: uncultured bacterium
Lineage: Bacteria
Description: partial 16S ribosomal RNA
Rfam family: Bacterial small subunit ribosomal RNA
Source: RNAcentral